UGGGGAAUAUUGGACAAUGGGGGCAACCCUGAUCCAGCAAUGCCGCGUGUGUGAAGAAGGUUUUCGGAUUGUAAAGCACUUUCGGCGGGGACGAUGAUGACGGUACCCGCAGAAGAAGCCCCGGCUAACUUCGUGCCAGCAGCCGCGGUAAUACGAAGGGGGCUAGCGUUGCUCGGAAUGACUGGGCGUAAAGGGCGUGUAGGCGGUUUGUACAGUCAGAUGUGAAAUCCCCGGGCUUAACCUGGGAGCUGCAUUUGAUACGUGCAGACUAGAGUGUGAGAGAGGGUUGUGGAAUUCCCAGUGUAGAGGUGAAAUUCGUAGAUAUUGGGAAGAACACCGGUGGCGAAGGCGGCAACCUGGCUCAUGACUGACGCUGAGGCGCGAAAGCGUGGGGAGCAAACAGGAUUAGAUACCCUGGUAGUCCACGCUGUAAACGAUGUGUGCUGGAUGUUGGGCAACUUAGUUGUUCAGUGUCGUAGCUAACGCGAUAAGCACACCGCCUGGGGAGUACGGCCGCAA
RNAcentral lists this ribosomal RNA (519 nucleotides) under uncultured bacterium. RNAcentral's name for it is "partial 16S ribosomal RNA". It matches the Rfam family "Bacterial small subunit ribosomal RNA", at positions 355 to 891 of the family's 1533-position model. The record is from RNAcentral.